This 556-nucleotide ribosomal RNA is filed under the name uncultured bacterium. Its description in RNAcentral is "partial 16S ribosomal RNA". It matches the Rfam family "Bacterial small subunit ribosomal RNA", at positions 355 to 900 of the family's 1533-position model. The record is from RNAcentral.
UAGGGAAUCUUCCACAAUGGACGCAAGUCUGAUGGAGCAACGCCGCGUGAGUGAAGAAGGUUUUCGGACCGUAAAGCUCUGUUGUUGGUGAAGAAGGAUAGAGGUAGUAACUGGCCUUUAUUUGACGGUAAUCAACCAGAAAGUCACGGCUAACUACGUGCCAGCAGCCGCGGUAAUACGUAGGUGGCAAGCGUUGUCCGGAUUUAUUGGGCGUAAAGCGAGCGCAGGCGGAAGAAUAAGUCUGAUGUGAAAGCCCUCGGCUUAACCGAGGAAUUGCAUCGGAAACUGUUUUCUUGAGUGCAGAAGAGGAGAGUAGAACUCCAUGUGUAGCGGUGGAAUGCGUAGAUAUAUGGAAGAAUACCAGUGGCGAAGGCGGCUCUCUGGUCUGCAACUGACGCUGAGGCUCGAAAGCAUGGGUAGCGAACAGGAUUAGAUACCCUGGUAGUCCAUGCCGUAAAACGAUGAGUGCUAAGUGUUGGGAGGCUUCCGCCUGCUCAGUGCUGCAGCUAACGCAUUAAGCACUCCGCCUGGGGGAGUACGACCGCAAGGUUGAAAC